Molecule: non-coding RNA, 32 nt
Filed under: Mus musculus (house mouse)
Lineage: Eukaryota; Metazoa; Chordata; Mammalia; Rodentia; Muridae
Source: RNAcentral
UAACGUACGUAUGUUUGAAAUGUGACUAGACU